Molecule: ribosomal RNA, 274 nt
Filed under: uncultured bacterium
Lineage: Bacteria
Description: partial 16S ribosomal RNA
Rfam family: Bacterial small subunit ribosomal RNA
Source: RNAcentral
CUACGGAGGGUGCAAGCGUUAAUCGGAAUUACUGGGCGUAAAGGACGCGUAGGCGGGUUGGCAAGUCAGAUGUGAAAUCCUACAGCUUAACUGUAGAACUGCAUUUGAAACUGCUAACCUAGAGUAUGGGAGGGGGAGAUGGAAUUAGUGGUGUAGGGGUAAAAUCCGUAGAUAUCACUAGGAAUACCGAAAGCGAAGGCGAUCUCCUGGAACAUAACUGACGCUAAGGCGUGAAAGCGUGGGGAGCAAACAGGAUUAGAAACCCUAGUAGUCC